RNAcentral lists this unclassified non-coding RNA (221 nucleotides) under uncultured fungus. Its description in RNAcentral is "sequence contains ITS1, 5.8S rRNA gene". The stretch from base 173 to 221 matches the Rfam family "5.8S ribosomal RNA", at positions 1 to 49 of the family's 154-position model. The record is from RNAcentral. Lineage: Eukaryota; Fungi.
UUUCCGUAGGUGAACCUGCGGAAGGAUCAUUACAGUUGGGGCCCCGCCCCGAUCAAGAUACCACCCCUUGCUUUUUGAGUACCUCUGUUUCCUCGGCGGGCUUGCCUGCCGGUUGGACAUUAUCAAACCUUUUUGUAGUUGCAAUCAGCGUCAGAAACAAAACAAUAAUUACAACUUUCAACAACGGAUCUCUUGGUUCUGGCAUCGAUGAAGAACGCAGC